This 942-nucleotide ribosomal RNA is filed under the name Pseudomonas flexibilis. Its description in RNAcentral is "bacterial LSU rRNA". It matches the Rfam family "Bacterial large subunit ribosomal RNA", at positions 4 to 995 of the family's 2925-position model. The record is from RNAcentral. Lineage: Bacteria; Pseudomonadati; Pseudomonadota; Gammaproteobacteria; Pseudomonadales; Pseudomonadaceae.
CAAGUGAAUAAGCGCAUACGGUGGAUGCCUUGGCAGUCAGAGGCGAUGAAAGACGUGGUAGCCUGCGAAAAGCUCCGGGGAGUCGGCAAACAGACUUUGAUCCGGAGAUGUCUGAAUGGGGAAACCCACCUGUCAUAAGACAGGUAUCUUGUACUGAAUCCAUAGGUGCAAGAGGCGAACCAGGGGAAGUGAAACAUCUCAGUACCCUGAGGAACAGAAAUCAACCGAGAUUCCCUUAGUAGUGGCGAGCGAACGGGGACCAGCCCUUAAGCUUCUUUAAAUCUAGUAGAACGCUCUGGAAAGUGCGGCCAUAGUGGGUGAUAGCCCCGUAUACGAAAGGUUUAUAGAAGUGAAAACGAGUAGGACGGCGCACGUGAAACGUUGUCUGAAGAUGGGGGGACCAUCCUCCAAGGCUAAAUACUACUGACUGACCGAUAGUGAACCAGUACCGUGAGGGAAAGGCGAAAAGAACCCCGGAGAGGGGAGUGAAAUAGAACCUGAAACCGUAUGCGUACAAGCAGUGGGAGCCUACUUUGUUAGGUGACUGCGUACCUUUUGUAUAAUGGGUCAGCGACUUAUAUUCAGUGGCGAGCUUAACCGAAUAGGGGAGGCGUAGCGAAAGCGAGUCUUAAUAGGGCGUUUAGUCGCUGGGUAUAGACCCGAAACCGGGCGAUCUAUCCAUGGGCAGGUUGAAGGUUAGGUAACACUGACUGGAGGACCGAACCGACUACCGUUGAAAAGUUAGCGGAUGACCUGUGGAUCGGAGUGAAAGGCUAAUCAAGCUCGGUGAUAGCUGGUUCUCCUCGAAAGCUAUUUAGGUAGCGCCUCAUGUAUCACUCUGGGGGGUAGAGCACUGUUUCGGCUAGGGGGUCAUCCCGACUUACCAACCCGAUGCAAACUCCGAAUACCCAGAAGUGCCGAGCAUGGGAGACACACGGCGGG